UGAAUUGAAGGCUAGCCUGAUCUACAGAU
RNAcentral lists this non-coding RNA (29 nucleotides) under Mus musculus (house mouse). The record is from RNAcentral. Lineage: Eukaryota; Metazoa; Chordata; Mammalia; Rodentia; Muridae.